This 601-nucleotide ribosomal RNA is filed under the name uncultured bacterium. RNAcentral describes it as "bacterial SSU rRNA". It matches the Rfam family "Bacterial small subunit ribosomal RNA", at positions 734 to 1340 of the family's 1533-position model. The record is from RNAcentral.
GUGUUACUGACGCUAAAGCUCGAAAGUGCGGGUAUCGAACAGGAUUAGAUACCCUGGUAGUCCGCACGGUAAACGAUGGAUGCCCGCUGUUUGCCCUUCGGGGUGAGUGGCUAAGCGAAAGCGUUAAGCAUCCCACCUGGGGAGUACGCCGGCAACGGUGAAACUCAAAGGAAUUGACGGGGGCCCGCACAAGCGGAGGAACAUGUGGUUUAAUUCGAUGAUACGCGAGGAACCUUACCCGGGCUUGAAUUGCAGAUGACGGAUCUAGAGAUAGUGACUUCCUUCGGGACAUCUGUGAAGGUGCUGCAUGGUUGUCGUCAGCUCGUGCCGUGAGGUGUCGGCUUAAGUGCCAUAACGAGCGCAACCCUUCUCUUCAGUUGCCAUCAGGUUAAGCUGGGCACUCUGGAGACACUGCCACCGUAAGGUGUGAGGAAGGUGGGGAUGACGUCAAAUCAGCACGGCCUUGACGUCCGGGGCUACACACGUGUUACAAUGGCCGGUACAGAAAGUCGGAUGCCCGUAAGGUCAUUCUAAUCAAGAAAGCCGGUCCCAGUUCGGACUGAGGUCUGCAACCCGACCUCACGAAGCUGGAUCGCUAGUA